RNAcentral lists this ribosomal RNA (253 nucleotides) under uncultured bacterium. Its description in RNAcentral is "partial 16S ribosomal RNA". It matches the Rfam family "Bacterial small subunit ribosomal RNA", at positions 524 to 776 of the family's 1533-position model. The record is from RNAcentral.
UACGUAGGGUCCGAGCGUUGUCCGGAAUUACUGGGCGUAAAGAGCUCGUAGGUGGUUUGUCGCGUUGUUCGUGAAAACUCACAGCUCAACUGUGGGCGUGCGGGCGAUACGGGCAGACUGGAGUACUGCAGGGGAGACUGGAAUUCCUGGUGUAGCGGUGGAAUGCGCAGAUAUCAGGAGGAACACCGGUGGCGAAGGCGGGUUGCUGGGCCGACACUGACGCUGAUGCGCGAAAGCCAGGGGAGCGAACGGG